Molecule: ribosomal RNA, 447 nt
Filed under: uncultured bacterium
Lineage: Bacteria
Description: bacterial SSU rRNA
Rfam family: Bacterial small subunit ribosomal RNA
Source: RNAcentral
CCCAGACUCCUACGGGAGGCAGCAGUGGGGAAUAUUGCACAAUGGGGGAAACCCUGAUGCAGCAACGCCGCGUGAAGGAAGACGGUUUUCGGAUUGUAAACUUCUGUUCUUAGUGAAGAAGAAUGACGGUAGCUAAGGAGCAAGCCACGGCUAACUACGUGCCAGCAGCCGCGGUAAUACGUAGGGGGCAAGCGUUAUCCGGAUUUACUGGGUGUAAAGGGAGCGUAGACGGCGCUGCAAGUCCGGAGUGAAAGUCCAUGGCUUAACCAUGGUACUGCUCUGGAAACUGUGGAGCUUGAGUGCGGGAGGGGCAGGCGGAAUUCCUAGUGUAGCGGUGAAAUGCGUAGAUAUUAGGAGGAACACCGGCGGCAAAGGCGGCCUGCUGGACCGUAACUGACGUUGAGGCUCGAAAGCGUGGGGAGCAAACAGGAUUAGAUACCCUCGUAC